AAUUCAGAUAAAUUAUUGUUUGAACAAUUAUGUUUGGCUACGUUACAUCAGAGCUCAAAAAUAAAAUAAAAUAAAAUAAAAUGAGUUACUAGCUUGACCUGCCAUUAGGCUUCCCCAAAAUGUCGCAACUCCAAAUUUAAAGACAUUGGCACCUAAAUAAAUAAAAUAAAAACAAUAAGGCAAUGAAUAUCCAAUACACAAACUAAUUGUUCAAAACCAGUUUCUGCACUCCCAUAUUCCUUAGCUGAAUCAUCACCAUGGAAUUUGUAUCUUCUAUUCAAAAACAAAUGCCUUCCUCUAGAUUAGUCAUCCCAUAGAUUAGUCCGACUGGACAUAACUUCAGAGGCGAUGCAAGGCACUACUCACUAAGAUAAUGAAUCCAAUUCACUAAAAUAAGCGAAAAGCGCUAACCUUCUCUUUCUUCAUAUUAUGUGCAUA
RNAcentral lists this unclassified non-coding RNA (438 nucleotides) under Hevea brasiliensis (rubber tree). Lineage: Eukaryota; Viridiplantae; Streptophyta; Magnoliopsida; Malpighiales; Euphorbiaceae. The record is from RNAcentral.